This 399-nucleotide ribosomal RNA is filed under the name uncultured bacterium. Its description in RNAcentral is "bacterial SSU rRNA". It matches the Rfam family "Bacterial small subunit ribosomal RNA", at positions 356 to 772 of the family's 1533-position model. The record is from RNAcentral.
AGGGAAUAUUGGACAAUGGGGGCAACCCUGAUCCAGCAAUGCCGCGUGAGUGAUGAAGGCCUUAGGGUUGUAAAGCUCUUUUACCCGGGAUGAUAAUGACAGUACCGGGAGAAUAAGCCCCGGCUAACUCCGUGCCAGCAGCCGCGGUAAUACGGGGGGGGCAAGCGUUGUUCGGAAUUACUGGGCGUAAAGGGCUCGUAGGUGGCCAACUAAGUCAGACGUGAAAUCCCUCGGCUUAACCGGGGAACCGCGUCUGAUACUGGUUGGCUUGAGUUUGGGAGAGGGAUGCGGAAUUCCAGGUGUAGCGGUGAAAUGCGUAGAUAUCUGGAGGAACACCGGUGGCGAAGGCGGCAUCCUGGACCAACACUGACGCUGAGGAGCGAAAGCCAGGGGAGCAAA